GUACAGCAGCACAGCUUGAAAGAGCAACGCCCUCCUAAGGCGUAGGUCGGGGGCUCGAAUUCCUCCUGGGACGCAA
RNAcentral lists this transfer RNA (76 nucleotides) under Sporosarcina ureae. RNAcentral describes it as "tRNA-Arg". The record is from RNAcentral. Lineage: Bacteria; Bacillati; Bacillota; Bacilli; Caryophanales; Caryophanaceae.